This 433-nucleotide ribosomal RNA is filed under the name uncultured bacterium. RNAcentral's name for it is "partial 16S ribosomal RNA". It matches the Rfam family "Bacterial small subunit ribosomal RNA", at positions 29 to 507 of the family's 1533-position model. The record is from RNAcentral.
AACGAACGCUGGCGGCAUGCCUAACACAUGCAAGUCGAACGAGACCUUCGGGUCUAGUGGCGCACGGGUGCGUAACGCGUGGGAACCUGCCCUUAGGUUCGGAAUAACUCCCCGAAAGGGGUGCUAAUACCGGAUAAUGUCUUCGGACCAAAGAUUUAUCGCCUUUGGAUGGGCCCGCGUUGGAUUAGCUAGUUGGUAGGGUAAAAGCCUACCAAGGCGACGAUCCAUAGCUGGUCUGAGAGGAGGAUCAGCCACACUGGGACUGAGACACGGCCCAGACUCCUACGGGAGGCAGCAGUGGGGAAUAUUGUACGAUGGGCGAAAGCCUGAUCCAGCAAUGCCGCGUGAGUGAUGAAGGCCUUAGGGUUGUAAAGCUCUUUUACCCGAGAUGAUAAUGACAGUACCGGGAGAAUAAGCUCCGGCUAACUCCGUG